AGUGAACGUUGGCGGCGUGGAUUAGGCAUGCAAGUCGAGCGAGAACCGUAGCAAUACGGGGACAGCGGCGAAAGGGACAGUAAUGUGUAGGUACCUACCUCCGGGUUCGGGAUAGCUGCGGGAAACUGCAGGUAAUACCGAAUAACGUCUCCGGACCAAAGGUGUGAUUCCACCUGGAGAGGGGCCUGCAUCCUAUUAGCUUGUUGGCGGGGUAACGGCCCACCAAGGCGACGGUGGGUAGCGGGUGUGAGAGCACGACCCGCGUCAUUGGGACUGAGACACUGCCCAGACACCUACGGGUGGCUGCAGUCGUGAAUCUUCGGCAAUGGGCGCAAGCCUGACCGAGCGACGCCGCGUGCGGGAUGACGGCCUUCGGGUUGUAAACCGCUGUCGUAGAGGAGGAAAUGCAGGGGGGUUCUCCCCUCUGUUUGACCUAUUCUAGGAGGAAGUACGGGCUAAGUUCGUGCCAGCAGCCGCCGUAA
This 482-nucleotide ribosomal RNA is filed under the name uncultured bacterium. Its description in RNAcentral is "partial 16S ribosomal RNA". It matches the Rfam family "Bacterial small subunit ribosomal RNA", at positions 28 to 523 of the family's 1533-position model. The record is from RNAcentral.